RNAcentral lists this ribosomal RNA (474 nucleotides) under uncultured organism. Its description in RNAcentral is "partial 16S ribosomal RNA". It matches the Rfam family "Bacterial small subunit ribosomal RNA", at positions 335 to 800 of the family's 1533-position model. The record is from RNAcentral.
ACUCCUGCGGGAGGCAGCAGUGGGGAAUUUUGGACAAUGGGCGAAAGCCUGAUCCAGCCAUGCCGCGUGCAGGAUGAAGGCCUUCGGGUUGUAAACUGCUUUUGUACGGAACGAAACGGCCUUUUCUAAUAAAGAGGGCUAAUGACGGUACCGUAAGAAUAAGCACCGGCUAACUACGUGCCAGCAGCCGCGGUAAUACGUAGGGUGCAAGCGUUAAUCGGAAUUACUGGGCGUAAAGCGUGCGCAGGCGGUUAUGUAAGACAGUUGUGAAAUCCCCGGGCUCAACCUGGGAACUGCAUCUGUGACUGCAUAGCUAGAGUACGGUAGAGGGGGAUGGAAUUCCGCGUGUAGCAGUGAAAUGCGUAGAUAUGCGGAGGAACACCGAUGGCGAAGGCAAUCCCCUGGACCUGUACUGACGCUCAUGCACGAAAGCGUGGGGAGCAAACAGGAGUAGAAACCCUAGUAGUCCCAUGA